GACGAACGCUGGCGGCGUGCCUAACACAUGCAAGUCGAACGGGGUGUUCCUUCGGGGACACUUAGUGGCGAACGGGUGAGUAACGCGUGAGAAACCUGCCUUUCAGUGGGGGACAACAGUUGGAAACGACUGCUAAUACCGCAUAAUGUUUCGAGAGGGCAUCCUUUUGAAACCAAAGCUUUAUGUGCUGAAAGAUGGUCUCGCGUCUGAUUAGCUAGUUGGUGAGGUAACGGCUCACCAAGGCGACGAUCAGUAGCCGGUCUGAGAGGAUGAACGGCCACAUUGGGACUGAGAUACGGCCCAGACUCCUACGGGAGGCAGCAGUGGGGAAUAUUGGGCAAUGGGGGAAACCCUGACCCAGCAACGCCGCGUGAAGGAAGAAGGCCUUCGGGUUGGUAAACUUCUUUUAGUAGGGACGAAGAAAGUAGACGGUACCUACAGAAAAAGACAACGGCUAACUACGUAG
Molecule: ribosomal RNA, 466 nt
Filed under: uncultured bacterium
Lineage: Bacteria
Description: bacterial SSU rRNA
Rfam family: Bacterial small subunit ribosomal RNA
Source: RNAcentral